GACGAACGCUGGCGGCGUGCUUAACACAUGCAAGUCGAACGGAAAGGCCCUGCUUUUGUGGGGUGCUCGAGUGGCGAACGGGUGAGUAACACGUGAGUAACCUGCCCUUGACUUUGGGAUAACUUCAGGAAACUGGGGCUAAUACCGGAUAGGAGCUCCUGCUGCAUGGUGGGGGUUGGAAAGUUUCGGCGGUUGGGGAUGGACUCGCGGCUUAUCAGCUUGUUGGUGGGGUAGUGGCUUACCAAGGCUUUGACGGGUAGCCGGCCUGAGAGGGGGACCGGCCACAUUGGGACUGAGAUACGGCCAAGACUCCUACGGGAGGCAGCGGUGGAGAAUAUUGCGCAAUGGGCGGAAGCCGGAUGCAGCAACGCCGCGUGGGGGAUGACGGCCUUCGGGGUGUAAACCGCUUUCGCCUGUGACGAAGCGUGAGUGACGGUAAUGGGUAAAGAAGCACCGGCUAACUACGUG
Molecule: ribosomal RNA, 468 nt
Filed under: uncultured bacterium
Lineage: Bacteria
Description: partial 16S ribosomal RNA
Rfam family: Bacterial small subunit ribosomal RNA
Source: RNAcentral